RNAcentral lists this long non-coding RNA (280 nucleotides) under Elaeis guineensis (African oil palm). RNAcentral describes it as "long non-coding RNA (EGUI_LNC073376)". The record is from RNAcentral. Lineage: Eukaryota; Viridiplantae; Streptophyta; Magnoliopsida; Arecales; Arecaceae.
GCUUAUUAGCAAGUAAAUAUUCAGUUACGAGGAAAAAGAGGAUGGUAGGAAGUGUUAUAGUGAGCAUGAUGAUCCAGUCUCGACUAUUGAAGAUCCAGUAAAAUUCUAAAAAACUGCCACCAAAUUUAUGCUACCAUGACCUUGCAUCACAUAAGUAUGUUCUCUAAUAAUAUUGUCCAUUGUCCAAUACAUAUUUCAACCAAUUAACGGCUCUGCAUAGUUGAAAAGAUGAUUGUCAACCCUUAUACACCUGAAAGACAAGCACAAUCCAAGAUCUAUG